UAGGGAAUCUUCCGCAAUGGGCGAAAGCCUGACGGAGCAACGCCGCGUGAGUGAUGAAGGUCUUCGGAUCGUAAAACUCUGUUAUUAGGGAAGAACAAAUGUGUAAGUAACUAUGCACGUCUUGACGGUACCUAAUCAGAAAGCCACGGCUAACUACGUGCCAGCAGCCGGGGUAAUACGUAGGUGGCAAGCGUUAUCCGGAAUUAUUGGGCGUAAAGCGCGCGUAGGCGGUUUUUUAAGUCUGAUGUGAAAGCCCACGGCUCAACCGUGGAGGGUCAUUGGAAACUGGAAAACUUGAGUGCAGAAGAGGAAAGUGGAAUUCCAUGUGUAGCGGUGAAAUGCGCAGAGAUAUGGAGGAACACCAGUGGCGAAGGCGACUUUCUGGUCUGUAACUGACGCUGAUGUGCGAAAGCGUGGGGAUCAAACAGG
This 429-nucleotide ribosomal RNA is filed under the name Actinomycetes bacterium. Its description in RNAcentral is "Actinobacteria bacterium partial 16S ribosomal RNA". It matches the Rfam family "Bacterial small subunit ribosomal RNA", at positions 355 to 776 of the family's 1533-position model. The record is from RNAcentral. Lineage: Bacteria; Bacillati; Actinomycetota; Actinomycetes.